AGCUGGUUAAAUGGAAUGUCAAGAAUCAGGAACUGAGGCUUUAAAAGAGCUUCGGCAAGAAGAGCCGAUCGACAGGAUCGGAUAUGUGAGUGAUUCGGCCCAUCAGGCUGAUGACGUGAUAUGUAACAAUACGGCUGAAAUGGCCGGUGAUAAUAUGGUGAAAUCGGUUGUUAAAGCCGAUGAAGAAAAAAUAGAUGAAUUAAGAUGGCGAACAACCGAAUUGAACUUAGAAGAGUCGCCUAUCAAAGUCGGUG
This 254-nucleotide long non-coding RNA is filed under the name Ananas comosus (pineapple). RNAcentral describes it as "long non-coding RNA (ACOM_LNC034245)". The record is from RNAcentral. Lineage: Eukaryota; Viridiplantae; Streptophyta; Magnoliopsida; Poales; Bromeliaceae.